Long non-coding RNA from Canis lupus familiaris (dog), 859 nucleotides. RefSeq lists it as uncharacterized. Lineage: Eukaryota; Metazoa; Chordata; Mammalia; Carnivora; Canidae. The transcript has 3 exons. The record is from RefSeq and is a predicted model, not a curated record.
ACUAUUCAGGAUUUCCAAGUAAUGAAGAAUCAAACUAGGAUUUUAAUAGAGCCUUUUGAGUAAUUACGAAGUGCCCGGAACACUUGGUUUGCAUUAGCUCAUAGAAGAACUCAAGCAAAAUAAAAGCAAAAAUCAGGAAAAGGAAGAUGACAAGGAGAGAAAUGGACUAUAAGCAGCAUAUCAAAUGUAGAUUUCCACAACGUUGAGAUGCUCAGAUCUGUCCUUUGUCUUCUACAGAAGGACAAUAAAAAUAAUAAAAAUAUGAUUACCAGAUGUGACUUAUUUUCCUUUUACUGUACAGCUUGGUAGAGAAAAUAAAUAUAAUCAAAUAAGAAAAUAAAUAAAUAAGAUUAUAUAGUGAAGGAUUUUGUGUUUUGUUUUGUUUCUUAAGCUCAACUUGGACUUUUGAACACCUUAGAAUGAAUUUAUAAGAAGUUCCUGUCCAGGGAUAAGGAAGGAAAGUUCAGCACAGAAUGUAAACAGCCUAUUAAGGAAGAAAAAUACAAUUAUUUCAUAAUUUCACACCUCUAAACCCAGUUCAUUCAAUCAACAAGCACAUAAAAUUUUAAGCUGUGUUCCAAAACAUUUUUAUGAAUUUACAUUAUCAGCAUUGAAGGAAAAUCAGUACCAUAAUGCUCUUGCUAGCUUUAACAAUUUUCAUUUGAUGUUUAUUAUAAUUUAAUAUGUGCAAUGCGACCUCAAUUAAGUGAUUUUUAUUAGCAUAGUUAACUAUUUUUCAUUUGUAUUUCUAUCAUUUGUAUUUGUUCACUUACAAAUUAGCUGUCACAUUGACCAGCAUAUCUAACAUAUAUAAUUAGUUAAUUAUUUUCUUAUAAAUUUGCAUGCAACAUUAAGAGAA